GGUGAACAGGAAGUGGCCUGGAUGUUCACACUCUGGUGAACAGGAAGUGGCCUGAGUCUUCAUUAUCUGGAGAAUGGGAAGUGGCCUGUAUGUCCAUUAUCAGGAGAACAGGAAGCAGUCUGGGGUUCACUCUCAGGGGUUUUCUGGAACUGGACAUCAUCUCUUUGCAAUGAUUCCCCAUCUGUGUUCAAGCAACGUAGAAUUCAAAAAGUCCUUGGAGGCUAAUAGGAGGACAGGGCUGGGUAAAGGGAUCAACAGAGGCAAUAUCCAAACUCGGCCUGUAUGACGUCACUAAUAACAGAAUCAUCUUAAUACAAGGAAUCUUUCAACAUGAACAUAUCUGAAAAUAAACUAUAUGCUUAUUAUAAUGAA
Canis lupus familiaris (dog) is the source of this 372-nucleotide long non-coding RNA. RefSeq lists it as uncharacterized. The record is from RefSeq and is a predicted model, not a curated record. Lineage: Eukaryota; Metazoa; Chordata; Mammalia; Carnivora; Canidae. The transcript is spliced from 2 exons.